This 1928-nucleotide long non-coding RNA is filed under the name Ovis aries (sheep). RNAcentral's name for it is "lncRNA (ENSOARG00000025635.1)". The record is from RNAcentral. Lineage: Eukaryota; Metazoa; Chordata; Mammalia; Artiodactyla; Bovidae.
AUGGGCUUCCUGCUUUCUCUAGGCCCUCUGUCUGAGUUGGUGGGCUCACAGAAACCUAAAGUCUCGAAGGUAAAAGCUCAAUUGCUGUCUCUGUUUCUUUCAUUUUUGUUUGAACAAUCUUUCCACGUUGCUAUGGUAAUGCCUAGUAUCAGGAUGCUCUGUAAAUUUUCAUUUGGGAAGCAGGAGGAGAUCACGAGUGAUGUAGUUCAUAGAAAAAUCUGCCCAGAGGGCAACCUCUUUGCCAAUCUGAAAAGUAUGUGUGUAUGAGUUAGAGCUCUGAUCCCAGGAGUCCAUGUAGAAGCUUCCCCUGAGAAAUGGAUCGUUUUUGCACCAAUGCUACUGAAAUGUGUGAAUGUGGUAUACCACGCGUCCCAAUAAGUGUAAACAGCGUCAUAGGCUACUUAUUUGAAAUGACCAGUACUCAUGACAUUCCAUUCAACUGAGGACUAAAUAUAGCCAACGUAGGCUGUGUUUGCCAAAUAGACUUUGAAGUAUUCUUCACACAGUCCUUCAUCGAUGCCAGUUUUCAGAUCGAAGAAACCCUUGCUCCAUGAAGUUUGUGAACACAUAUACUCAUGUUUUGUUUGAGAUUUUAAAGUCAUUCUUCAGUUUUGUUGGAGGAAUGGUUCUGGGGGAAGCCCAGUGCAGCCCAAUAGCUUGCCACAUUUACUCACUUCUUGAGUCCCUUGUCAUUCUUCAGUGCACAGUGGGGCUGUCCCAUUACAGUCUCCUCCUCUUGUCACAUCAGCUUGAAUGAGGCUUACGUGCCAUGACUAGAAUAUCAGGCUCAACCCAAAUUGUUCAUGUUUCACUCAGCACUGCAUGGGAGAUGUCAUGUCACUGUAAUGUACUCUUCCUAGAAAACAUUUUCACCUCGAUCCUCCCAGGUCCAGCUGGUACCCAGAAUGAACGACUGGAUGACGAGAAGGAAGACCUGCAGCACCCUGAAAUGCCUCUCAUCAGCUCGUAGCCCUAUCAGCAACUACACAAGGAAGGGUGCAGUAUCCUUUGAGGGCUGGAUGAAGACACAUCUAAGUCAAGAAACAAUUAAGUGAAUGUAUAUUGGGAGCCAGAUUUCUUUUCCCAUCCUUUUUCUCAGUUGUUUUAAUAAUCCAAGACUUCUAAAAAUACAGCCAUAAGGAUGGCACACGCAGAGUUUGCUAACUAAGAAAUAAUGAGGGGGCGGGAUGAACAUGGCGGCGCGUCGGGGGCCAGGGCUCUCAGGGCUCGCCAUUGCAGCUGGGAAUGCUCGUUUCGUGGGCUCCUGGGUCCCCGUCGAUUGGCAUCCAGCGAGCAGAGCGAAGGGCUUGGAACACAGGCAUUCUGAAUUGGGAUCCUUCUUGGGGGCACACGCAUCACUCAGCUGAGAUGGAUUCCAGCGAAGUGGAUCCUGGGAGGUUGGUAGGACCUCUGAACUGGAGCCUCCCAUCUCCUGACCUCUCCAGAAUUCUGGUUGGUGGUAGCUUGUUCGUUCCUUGUUCCUUCCCAGGACCUCCUGUUGUAAGAUGAUUCCUGCAAGUGUUUUCUUUUCUCUGUUGCCUGGCCAGGGUGGGUGGUCCGUGGUUCAUUUAACAGUUUGUUUUUGGUUCUCUCGAGUAAGGUCCUCCACAGGGUAAAUGUAUGAAAUGAUAAAAGGCAAUGUUUUAAAUAAUUUAUAUUCAUAAUUUGGUAAGUUGGCUUGUUUUGUGUAUGUUAGACCUGAUCACCAGACCAACGGUCAUGUAGAACUUUUGCAGUUUUCUAAAAUUCUAUAGUUUUUUAAAUGGAGUUACCUUGUUGCAAAGUUUGUGUUUAUGUUCAUAUUUUUUUAAAGUUAUUUCUUUUAGUUGAUUGAUCAUUGCUUUACAAUAUUGGUUUGAUUUGUCAUACAUCCACAUGAAUUAACCAUAGGUGUACCUAUGUCCUCUUGCUCUUGAAUCUCCCUCCCA